CUCUUUUCUUAUGAAUGAACCAAAGCCCGGUAGAACCCGGUAAAACUUGUGACGCCGCACGUAGGCUCUAAUAAAUUCCUCCCACGUCAACUCCGGUGCACAGCAGGCUUCACUCUGAUUGGCCAGCGAAACCGACUACAGGCCUUUGAUGAAAUGGGAAAAGAUGCUCCUGAUAGGAGCCUGAAUCGACCAGAAAACCCUUCAUCACCCUGUGAUGUAAUGUGUGGUUCAUCUGUCAGUUAGAAAACACUAACAGAGCUGAUCUCCUCGGGGGCUGAACAGUCUUCUGAGUUUUUUUUUUUCCUCUUUCAAUGAUAAAACAAGUUUUCUUCUUUCAAAAUUAAAAAUAAAUUCUUAUGUGAACCUCAAUCUGACCUGGUGUCAUAUGGCAAAUCAUAAUCUAGCUAUGUUAAGAAAUUCUUGACACAAUUCAAAACAUAUGACUUUCCACCAUUUUUUUAAAUUAUUGAAAUCUGUAGACAGGUUUACAGAUAACAAUCAGACAAAUAAACAAAAGAGGACUGAAAACAUUUAUUUGUUGGUGAAAAAAAAACAACUAACAACUGGUCACUUUCCAAUGUCUAUUAAUGUAAAAUGUAAUAAUGGAAACUGAUAAUCCAUUCUAACAGCAACAACAGGAUGGCACGUAACAGACAAAUUAAAACAGUAAACUUUCAACUUGGCAGG
This is a long non-coding RNA of Lates calcarifer (barramundi perch), 687 nucleotides long. RefSeq lists it as uncharacterized. The transcript is spliced from 2 exons. NCBI's taxonomy places the organism in Eukaryota, Metazoa, Chordata, Actinopteri, Centropomidae. The record is from RefSeq and is a predicted model, not a curated record.